UUCUCCAACAGGCCAGCGUUCAAGGCGAUCAUGUCGCUGCUCGUAGCUUAUACGUCCAGAGAUGUUCCGUACGCUCCUCACUCUGAUCACAUCCUUGAAGAGAUGUAUGCCAUGCUUUGCCAU
Long non-coding RNA from Selaginella moellendorffii, 123 nucleotides. RefSeq lists it as uncharacterized. The transcript has 3 exons. NCBI's taxonomy places the organism in Eukaryota, Viridiplantae, Streptophyta, Lycopodiopsida, Selaginellales, Selaginellaceae. The record is from RefSeq and is a predicted model, not a curated record.